GCCACCUUAGCUCAGUUGAUAGAGCAGCUGAUUUGUAAUCUGCAGGUCCUCGGUUUGAGUCCGAGAGGUGGC
This 72-nucleotide transfer RNA is filed under the name bacterium. RNAcentral describes it as "tRNA-Thr". It matches the Rfam family "tRNA". From Rfam's summary of the family: Transfer RNA (tRNA) molecules are approximately 80 nucleotides in length. Their secondary structure includes four short double-helical elements and three loops (D, anti-codon, and T loops). Further hydrogen bonds mediate the characteristic L-shaped molecular structure. tRNAs have two regions of fundamental functional importance: the anti-codon, which is responsible for specific mRNA codon recognition, and the 3' end, to which the tRNAs corresponding amino acid is attached (by aminoacyl-tRNA synthetases). tRNAs cope with the degeneracy of the genetic code in two manners: having more than one tRNA (with a specific anti-codon) for a particular amino acid; and 'wobble' base-pairing, i.e. permitting non-standard base-pairing at the 3rd anti-codon position. The record is from RNAcentral.